Molecule: ribosomal RNA, 2987 nt
Filed under: Carteria sp. SAG 8-5
Lineage: Eukaryota; Viridiplantae; Chlorophyta; Chlorophyceae; Chlamydomonadales; Chlamydomonadaceae
Description: LSU rRNA
Rfam family: Bacterial large subunit ribosomal RNA
Source: RNAcentral
GUCAAAUGACUUAAGGCGAACGGCGGAGACCUAGGCACCCAGAGACGAUGAAGGGCGCAGAUACCGGCGAUACGCUCCGGGGAGCUGGCAACAAGCUUUGAUCCGGAGAUCCCCGAAUAGGGCAACCACUUGAACUACCUAUAUAAUUCAUAGUUAGGUAAGAGGCAACCCGGUGAAUUGAAACAUCUUAGUAGCCGGAGGAAAAGAAAGCAAAAGCGAUUCCCGGAGUAGCGGCGAGCGAAACGGGAACAGCCUAAACCGAUCCAUUAGGUUCGGUGUAGAGGGAGGACAUUAUGGAAUAACGUGUUCAAAAAAUACGUAUUCCAAAGAAAGCAUAACAAUGGAAUAUAUCCAAAAAAAUUGUGGAUAUAUUCAAUUUUUCAAUAGACGAAGCAGCUGAAUCCUGCACCAUAGAUGGUGAAAGUCCAGUAGUCAAAAAAAAAAUAUGCAAUUGUCUUAUCCCGAGUAGCAUGGGGCACGUGAAAUCCCGUGUGAAUCUGCGAGGACCACCUCGUAAGGCUAAAUACUCCUGGGUGACCGAUAGCGAAAUAGUACCGCGAGGGAAUGGUUAAAUAGAACCCCCGUAGGGGAGUGAAAUAGAACAUGAAACCGUUCGCUGACAAGCAGGUGGGAGGGGGUUUGACCCUGACCGCGUGCCUGUUGAAGAAUGAGCCGGCGACUUAUAAGAAGUGGCCAGGUUAAGGAAUAAUAUCCGGAGCCUAAGCGAAAGCAAGUCUGAAUAGGGCGUAUGAGUCACUUCUUAUGGACCCGAACCCGGGUGAUCUAAUCCUGACCAGGAUGAAGUUUGGGUAACACCAAAUGGAAGACCGAACCGACCGAUGUUGAAAAAUCGACGGAUGAGUUUGGAUUAGGGGAGAAAUUCCAAUCGAACUCGGAGCUAGCUGGAUCUCCCCGAAAUGCGUUGAGGCGCAGCGGCGACGAUGAGCUAUCUAGGGGUAAAGCACUGUUUCGAUACGGGCUGCGAAAGCGGUACCAAGUCGUGGCAAACUCAGAAUACUAGAUAAUGCAUUCCGUCAGCCAGUGAGACUGCGGGGGAUAAGCUCCGUUGUCAAGAGGGAAACAGCCCAGAUCACCAGCUAAGGCCCCUAAAUGGUCACUAAGUGGAUAAGGAUGUGAGAAUGCUUAAACAACCAGGAGGUUCGCUUAGAAGCAGCUAUCUUCCUUGAAAGAGUGCGUAAUAGCUCACUGGUAAAGCGUUCUUGCGCCGAGAAUGGCCGGGACUAAGUGACCUGCCGAAGCUGUGAGAUUUCCUCUAUUUAUAAUAGAAAGGGAUUCGGUAGGGGAGCGUUCCGCUCUCGGGUGAAGCUUUCACGGAAGUGGGGGUGGACGAAGCGGAAGUGAGAAUGUCGGCUUGAGUAACGAAAACAUUGGUGAGAAUCCAAUGCCCCGAAAACUAAGGGUUACCUCCACUAGGCUCGUCCAUGGGGGUUAGUCAGGACCUAAGACUAGGCCGAAAGGCGUCGUCGAUGGAAAACAGGUUAAUAUUCCUGUACUGAUUUUAUUGGGAACCGAGGGACGAAGGAGGCUAAACUGGGACUGCUUCUGGAUUUCAGUGGAAGCGUCCGAGACGUAGAAGGGUAGAAUAAAAACUAUCAAUAAGUUGAGGCGUGAUCCCGCAUUCCUUUUUAAAGGAUGUGCGCCAGCGAUGUCAUACUUCCAAGAAAAGCUCGAACACCAUUAACAAUAAAAUCACCUGUACCUGAAACCGACACAGGUAGGUUAGUAGAGAAUACUAAGGGGCGCGAGAGAACUCUCUCUAAGGAACUCGGCAAACUAGCCCCGUAACUUCGGGAGAAGGGGCGCCCUCUCUCUUAAAAAGAGAGGGUUGCAGUGACCAGGCCCAGGCGACUGUUUACCAAAAACACAGGUCUCCGCAAAGUCGUAAGACAAUAUAUGGGGGCUGACGCCUGCCCAGUGCCGGAAGGUUAAGGAAGUUGGUUAUUGCGUAAGCAAGAAGCUGACGACCGAAGCCCCGGUGAACGGCGGCCGUAACUAUGACGGUCCUAAGGUAGCGAAAUUCUUUGACAGGUAAGUUCUGUCCUGCACGAAAGGCGUAACGAUCUGGGCGCUGUCUCAGAGAGAGACUCGGUGAAAUAGACUUGUCCGUGAAGAUGCGGACUACCUGCACCUGGACAGAAAGACCCUAUGAAGCUUGACUGUAUCCUGGAAUAGGGUUUGGGCUCUUCUUGCGCAGCCUAGGUGGGAGGCUAUGAAGAUUUCCUUCCGGGGAAGUUGGAGCCAUCAUUGAGAGACCACUCUGGAAGAGCUAGAAUCCUAAUGGCGUUCCUUCUAACAGGACGCUUGACGGUUUCAGGUGGGCAGUUUAUUUGGGGCGAAUGCCUCAUAAAAGGUAACUGAGGCGUGCAAAGGUUCUCUCAGGCUGGACGGAAAUCAGCCGUGGAGUGCAAAAGCAGAAGAGAGCUUGACUGCAAGACCUACAAGUCGAGCAGGUACGAAAGUAGGCUUUAGUGAUCCGACGGUGCCGAGUGGAAGGGCCGUCGCUCAACGGAUAAAAGUUACUCUAGGGAUAACAGGCUGAUCUUCCCCAAGAGUUCACAUCGACGGGAAGGUUUGGCACCUCGAUGUCGGCUCAUCACAUCCUGGGGCGGUAGUACGUCCCAAGGGUUGGGCUGUUCGCCCAUUAAAGUGGUACGUGAGCUGGGUUCAGAACGUCGUGAGACAGUUCGGUCCAUAUCCGGUGUAGGCGCUUAGAGCAUUGAGAGGAUUCGAGUCUAGUACGAGAGGACCGAUUUGAACAAACCAACGGUAUACCAGUUCUCGCUCCAGCGGGAAACGCUGGGUAGCCGCGUUUGGAUGGAUAACCGCUGAAAGCAUAUAAGUGGGAAACCAACCUCAAGAUGAGUGCUCUCCAUCAGGCCGCAGCAAGAUAAGCUGUUUGAUAGGUGCCAGGUCUAAGAUCAGCAAUGGUUUCAGCCGAGGCAUACUAAAGGCCGAUUGAUUUUGAC